GCCAGGCGCAGUGGCACGCGCCUGUAAUCCCAGCAUCUCUGGAGGCUGAGGCAGGAGGAUCACGAGUUCAAAGCCAGCUUCAGCAGUUAAGUGAGGUGUUAAGCAACUCAGUGAGACCCUGUCUCUG
This 127-nucleotide small RNA is filed under the name Marmota monax (woodchuck). Lineage: Eukaryota; Metazoa; Chordata; Mammalia; Rodentia; Sciuridae. The record is from RNAcentral.